Molecule: small nucleolar RNA, 138 nt
Filed under: Microtus ochrogaster (prairie vole)
Lineage: Eukaryota; Metazoa; Chordata; Mammalia; Rodentia; Cricetidae
Source: RNAcentral
AUGGCUUUAACUGAACACUAGAAGUUACACUGUAGCUAUCGGUUUCAAGCAGAGGCCCGAAGAGCUAUCUCUUCCUGUGGAUUGCAGCUAUUCUGGAACCUCAGUAGAGAAUGACUAUUUUGUUUGGAAGAAACAACU